This 25-nucleotide non-coding RNA is filed under the name Cricetulus griseus (Chinese hamster). Lineage: Eukaryota; Metazoa; Chordata; Mammalia; Rodentia; Cricetidae. The record is from RNAcentral.
GAGGGCCUGUAGAGUCCAAGAGAUG